CCACUCUUGCUGUGCAAACUCAAUUUCCUGUAUCCUACUCUACGUAUUUUCGAAGCAGUCAUCGCCAUAUGGUAUACUCUCUCUAGAUUAUUUUCUUGGGCAUUUGCCUAUUGUCACCUUUUCUUCUCACUAGCAUGUGGCUCCAUGAGGGCAAAUACUUAAUCUGUUAUGUUCACUGGGGCAUCUCCAGAACUUGCCUGAAACCCAGUAGGUGUUCAAUAAGUUCUGGAGGGAUGAAUGAAUGACUCCUCUCACUGUAAGGAAGUUUGGGAUAUGUAGUCUAUCUGGGCACAUUUCUAUCUGUUCUCUUUGCAGGGGAGAAAGGGAUGAGGAUGUUGGAUAAGCAGCUCAGCAUGUUCCCCAACAUGUAAGGGAAUCAGGUCGAGUUCUACACUCUCCUUCUUGGUACACAUCCUCAGAAUGCAGGAAGUGCCUGUGCUUGCUGUGAGUCUUUGUGGACAGAGGCAGGAUCAUGCUGGCUAGAAUCUAGUGGACAAGGGCAGCACAUUCCCCCUGUUCCCAGGUGGGUCCAGAGAUGUCGCCUGGGAGCCAGGGCCUGGAGUUCUGUUACUGUGGCUGAGCUUGCACCCAAGCUACAAGAUGACAUCCUACUCUUCCCUCACCUUUCUACAAGUAGAGGAGUCUCUUCUCAUGGCCACCAUUGUCCCAGGAUGUGAGGUCUGGAACAGCUGCAGCCAUUUUGCCACCAUGGGAAACCUGGGACAUCUGAACUGACUCCAUGAAGCCUGAAGAGAAAGCUAAUAAGAAGGCAGAGAGAAGAGGAAGAGUCUUGGUCUUUGGAAAUAUCUUUUGGAGCUGCUGGAUCAAGUAUCACUUGAAGGUGUCUCUUCUCACGUGGAAUCACAGCAUUGGAUGGACUGAAAAGAGGAAGAGGCUGCAAUGGAGCAGCACACCUGGUGCGUGGGGAUGCCUGGAAAACAAAAUUAGGAGAGCCCUGGGUCAGCAUUGCUCUGGCACUGGCUGGGCCGGGGGCCAUCCUGAUUCUAGAAUUAUCUUGGUUCCUGGGAUAGAAAUGUCCCCAGAGUGGAGAAGUUCAGUUCAAUCCAACAUCCUUAUAUUGCAAUGAGGAUAAAGACCACAGACCCUAUGGCCUGUAUGACCCAGCUGCCCAUUUCUAGGAACCCAUUCCUACAGAAAUGACAACAUGCGUGUGCAAACAGCAACAAUGACAAACAUACCCUGGGAUGCUUUCCCUCUGUGGUUUGUUAUAGUAAGAUAGCGGCUACAGCUUAUAUAUCAUCAACAGAGGACUGGCUAAAUGAUGGCACUUCAUUCUGCAGAAUCUUUUUUUGUAGUCAAAAAGAACAAGUUAGAUCUAUAUGUGUGAACAUGGAAAGGUGUACAUGACUUAAGUAGAAAAAUUAAGUUGCAGAACGA
RNAcentral lists this long non-coding RNA (1398 nucleotides) under Homo sapiens (human). Its description in RNAcentral is "APRG1 tumor suppressor candidate". Lineage: Eukaryota; Metazoa; Chordata; Mammalia; Primates; Hominidae. The record is from RNAcentral.